GGGAAGGUGGCUCAGUAGUAGAGUGCUUGCCUUGCAUGCAUGAGGACGUAGGUUCAAUUCCUCAGUACCA
This 70-nucleotide transfer RNA is filed under the name Dipodomys ordii (Ord's kangaroo rat). It matches the Rfam family "tRNA". From Rfam's summary of the family: Transfer RNA (tRNA) molecules are approximately 80 nucleotides in length. Their secondary structure includes four short double-helical elements and three loops (D, anti-codon, and T loops). The record is from Rfam by way of RNAcentral. Lineage: Eukaryota; Metazoa; Chordata; Mammalia; Rodentia; Heteromyidae.